This 497-nucleotide ribosomal RNA is filed under the name uncultured bacterium. RNAcentral's name for it is "partial 16S ribosomal RNA". It matches the Rfam family "Bacterial small subunit ribosomal RNA", at positions 28 to 507 of the family's 1533-position model. The record is from RNAcentral.
GAUGAACGCUGGCGGCGUGCCUAAUACAUGCAAGUCGAGCGAACGGACGAGAAGCUUGCUUCUCUGAUGUUAGCGGCGGACGGGUGAGUAACACGUGGAUAACCUACCUAUAAGACUGGGAUAACUUCGGGAAACCGGAGCUAAUACCGGAUAAUAUUUUGAACCGCAUGGUUCAAAAGUGAAAGACGGUCUUGCUGUCACUUAUAGAUGGAUCCGCGCUGCAUUAGCUAGUUGGUAAGGUAACGGCUUACCAAGGCAACGAUGCAUAACCGACCUGAGAGGGUGAUCGGCCAAACUGGAACUGAGACACGGUCCAGACUCCUACGGGAGGCAGCAGUAGGGAAUCUUCCGCAAUGGGCGAAAGCCUGACGGAGCAACGCCGCGUGAGUGAUGAAGGUCUUCGGAUCGUAAAACUCUGUUAUUAGGGAAGAACAUAUGUGUAAGUAACUGUGCACAUCUUGACGGUACCUAAUCAGAAAGCCACGGCUAACUACGUG